RNAcentral lists this ribosomal RNA (1323 nucleotides) under metagenome. Its description in RNAcentral is "bacterial LSU rRNA". It matches the Rfam family "Bacterial large subunit ribosomal RNA", at positions 1561 to 2925 of the family's 2925-position model. The record is from RNAcentral.
AGUGGAUGGGGAGCAACCUAGUUGUGCGUGUGUAAAGGUAGUGCCAAGAAAAGCGAUGAUCAUGUUGAAAAUCAAUUCCCGGUACCCGAAACCGACAUAGGUGGGCAAGUAGAGAAUACUAAGGGGCGCGAGGUAACUCUCUCCAAGGAACUCGGCAAAAUGACCCCGUAACUUAGGGAGAAGGGGUGCCACCGAGAGGUGGUCGCAGUGAAGAGGCCCAGGCGACUGUUUAGCAAAAACAUAGGUCUCUGCAAACUCGAAAGAGGAGGUAUAGGGGCUGACGCCUGCCCAGUGCCGGAAGGUUAAAGAAGUUGGUCAGUUUUAGGAUGAAGCUAGCCACUGAAGCCCCGGUGAACGGCGGCCGUAACUAUAACGGUCCUAAGGUAGCGAAAUUCCUUGUCGGGUAAGUUCCGACCCGCACGAAAGGCGUAACGAUCUGGGCGCUGUCUCGGAGAGAGGCUCGGCGAAAUAGGAUUGUCUGUGAAGAUACGGACUACCUGCAUUUGGACAGAAAGACCCUAUGAAGCUUUACUAUAGCUUGGAAUUGUGUUCGGGCUUCCUGUGCGCAAUAGGUGGGAGGCGUAGAAGGUAUUCUUGUGGGGAUACUGGAGCCAACGGUGAGAUACCACUCUCAGGAGGCUAGAAUUCUAACUUAAUUAAGGACAGUUUCAGGUGGGUAGUUUGACUGGGGCGGUCGCCUCCAAAAAGGUAACGGAGGCGUACAAAGGUUCCCUCAGACUGGUUGGAAAUCAGUCGAAGAGUGCAAAGGCAGAAGGGAGCUUGACUGCGAGAAGUACAGUUCGAGCAGGGUGGAAACACGGUCUUAGUGAUCCGACGGUGCUGUGUGGAAGGGCCGUCGCUCAACGGAUAAAAGUUACUCUAGGAUAACAGGCUGAUCUCCCCCAAGAGUUCACAUCGACGGGGAGGUUUGGCACCUCGAUGUCGGCUCAUCGCAACCUGGGGCGGAAGUACGUCCCAAGGGUUGGGCUGUUCGCCCAUUAAAGCGGUACGUGAGCUGGGUUCAGAACGUCGUGAGACAGUUCGGUCCAUAUCCGAUGUAGGCGUGAGAAUAUUGAGAGGAGCCUUCCUUAGUACGAGAGGACCGGGAAGGACGCACCGCUGGUGUACCUGUUAUGAUGCCAAUUGUAAACGCAGGGUAGCCAAGUGCGGAGAGGAUAACCGCUGAAAGCAUCUAAGUGGGAAGCCCACCUCAAGAUGAGUAUUCUGGUGUAAGGUCACGGGAAGACGACCCGUAAAUAGGCACGAGGUGGAAGUGCAGAGAUGUAUGAAGCCGAAGUGUACUAAUAGACCGUCGGCUUGACC